Molecule: long non-coding RNA, 618 nt
Organism: Anguilla rostrata (American eel)
Lineage: Eukaryota; Metazoa; Chordata; Actinopteri; Anguilliformes; Anguillidae
Exons: 3
Source: RefSeq, a predicted model, not a curated record
GUAAACUAGUUCACGUUUAGAAGGGAGUGAACGUAUAAAACCGGAUGAUGAGCGAUAUCCAGAGGCCGGGAAGCCCGAGUUGUUUAUAUAAAUCAGGAAAAGAAUGAACUCCGAGAUUUACAUAUGUCCAAGCUUGUGGAUCAGUGAAGUGCGUGCUACGGGGAUGCGAUACGUUGCGCUGAAAAAUCAACUAAAUCAAAUACGGGCAUUGCUCCAUAGAGCCUGUCCCUCAGUGCUCAUUCAGCUCCCCCUCGCCUACAAGGGACCAUCAGAGGAAGGUUCCUGUCUUGGAGGCAUAUGGCGCUUCUCCAUUGAUCAGCACGGCACGGUACAGGAUGGCAAGCGUUCGUAUCCUACCCGUGCCAUGUUGCCUGUUGCGCUUCUCCAUUACACAACAGACCCGUGAAGAUAGGAGGAGUCAUAGGAGGAGUAAAGUGGAGUAAAGCAUCCUAAAUGUGUAAUAAUUAACUCUUGUAUGUAUUUCUACACUCUGUACUCUCAUAUGUUUUCUUGUAUGGGGAUGGGACAAUAUGAAAACCAUUUUCACCGUCCACCACGUUUUAGCGAUGUUCCAACACUCUCGACAUCACUGUUGGAUGCAUCACAAAAACUAUUACA